UCCGGCCGCCAUGGCGGCCGCGGGAAUUCGAUUGGAAACAGAUGCUAAUACCGUAUAACAAUGACAACCGCAUGGUUGUUAUUUAAAAGAUGGUUCUGCUAUCACUAAGAGAUGGUCCCGCGGUGCAUUAGCUAGUUGGUAAGGUAAUGGCUUACCAAGGCGAUGAUGCAUAGCCGAGUUGAGAGACUGAUCGGCCACAAUGGGACUGAGACACGGCCCAUACUCCUACGGGAGGCAGCAGUAGGGAAUCUUCCACAAUGGGCGAAAGCCUGAUGGAGCAACGCCGCGUGUGUGAUGAAGGGUUUCGGCUCGUAAAACACUGUUGUAAGAGAAGAAUGACAUUGAGAGUAACUGUUCAAUGUGUGACGGUAUCUUACCAGAAAGGAACGGCUAAAUACGUGCCAGCAGCCGCGGUAAUACGAUAAUCACUAGUGAAUUCGCGGCCGCCUGCAGGUCGACCAUAUGGGAGAGCUCCCAACGCGUUGGA
This 487-nucleotide ribosomal RNA is filed under the name Weissella confusa. RNAcentral describes it as "bacterial SSU rRNA". The stretch from base 1 to 434 matches the Rfam family "Bacterial small subunit ribosomal RNA", at positions 117 to 540 of the family's 1533-position model. The record is from RNAcentral. Lineage: Bacteria; Bacillati; Bacillota; Bacilli; Lactobacillales; Lactobacillaceae.